Molecule: non-coding RNA, 1631 nt
Organism: Salvelinus sp. IW2-2015
Lineage: Eukaryota; Metazoa; Chordata; Actinopteri; Salmoniformes; Salmonidae
Source: RefSeq, a predicted model, not a curated record
CUAGACAGCUCUGCAAGCGUUAUGAUGUCAAAAUAGGUUCGUUACUCACAAAAUAAAAAUGUACACGCAAUCGAAAGAGUGCCUAUUCACUCACAUCCCAAGGAUCCCGAAUAGCACUAACCUUACUGCUAUGCACAAGUCGGAAGUCUACGACAGCUCAAUAUAUUGGAGGUGCCGAAGAGUGUUUUUUCCCUGUUGCUUGUAAAAUAUUUUUGUAUCUUGUUUUGGAAGUACAUACCGGGGGUCACGGGAGUAAAUUAAGCUAGUUGCUCAGCGAAACCCCACAUUUGUUAAAUACCGAACGUAUUUUUACAUAACGCUUGCAGAGCUGUUUAAUGAGAGUUUGAAUAUGAGCUAACUGUUAGAGAGGAGACACUCGUCGCUGACAUCUCUAACGCACAGAUACUAGCUUGGAAAUAAAUGAACAAUCCAUCCAUUACUCCUUCCUGUGUUGACUCACUGACUUGAGGGACGGGACCAGGAAGGUCACACAGACAGAAAAUGUCAGGUGGGUGAUAACCAUGAAUGAGGAAUAUGAAACAAAAUUAUUCUGCAACUCAGCUGAGGUGAGCUGAUGAUUUAUUUCCUAUGGAAAUCUAAUGACCCUCCUCUUGGAGAGAGAUGUGGACUCAUUUCAGUUCUGCUCAAUAAUCUACCUACUCAGCUGCUAAUCAUCAGGAUUUUGAUAAACUGAUUCAGGUGUGGUAGAGCAGAGUUAGAACAAAAGCCUGUCUAGGUGGGUUCGCCCUACUCUAUCUGUUUGUACAGUAGCUUAAUUGCCACAUAAAUACAGAACCUCUGAUUUAAAAACAGGAGCUUCGUGGUGCUCUUGAACACAAGGUCAGGGACAUGUCUGGUAUGUUCAUGUGGGCAAGAAACAUGGCUUGUGAGUUUUAUCAUAGGAAAUGUGAAGUUGUAUUAGAAACAGCUUUGUUUGUUUUGAAACUGGAGUGGAAAGCUGAGGGGGUGGCGCAGCUGCGACUAAGCACAGUGGACCUGACCGGGGUGCCCAGUCUAGAGAACCUGCACAGAGGAGUGGAGUUCGCACUCAGUCACCGGGAAAAGGGCUCCAGUGUCUACGGCCACUGUAAGGCUGUCGCAGUGCUACACUAGCUGCUGCAUACAUCAUACAGGUACACUGCUAGGGUCCAGAGGAAGCAUGUCAGAUGUUGGCCUCUGUCCGACCACAUGUAAUAAUUUGUUCUACACAGCUGGAGAUGCUUCGGCGGUACCAUCAGCAAGUCUGUGGUGUGGGGUUCCAUUUAAGAUUGUUGAGAGGCUGCCAGCAUACUUUAUUGCACUCCUACAGAAACUGUAAAAUGAGCUUUGUCAAAACAAACCAUAUUCUUCUUGAAGAGUUUUUUGACCUUGAGCUUAUUCUUUAUUACAUUGUUUUGUUACUCAACUGGAUCAAGUGCAUUGUAUAAUUCAAAUGUUUUAUCACAGCUCAUCAGAACAUGAGGUAUAAUAAAAUGCAAUCCCCAUCAAAGUACUGACAGGUGGGUGAGGGGGUGGGGUGGGUGUAUUUUAAAAGCAUGUUUCUACAUAACAUUUUUUCUUCCUUAAUAGGAAAUUUGAUUACAAUUUCUAUGUUAAUUUUUUUUUUUUUGUUACAAAUUUCACUGAUUGUG